Molecule: long non-coding RNA, 5780 nt
Organism: Nematostella vectensis (starlet sea anemone)
Lineage: Eukaryota; Metazoa; Cnidaria; Anthozoa; Actiniaria; Edwardsiidae
Exons: 2
Source: RefSeq, a predicted model, not a curated record
AUCUAUGGAAGAAAGUAAACCGAUAAGACAUACGUCUAAAAAACAAAUCAAUUGUUGCUUGGUGCUACUUACCGACUCCUCAAACAUUUGUUUGUUGGCGUUAUUGUCGCCGGUUCUCUGCGUGAUACAAAAAGAGCCCAAUGUAUUAUAACUGACAACGCAUUCGACUCGCAUUUUCAGAAAGUUGGUACCUUGGACUUGCCACUGUAGAGACGGAAGUCGGGGCCCUUGGAUUGCUGGGACUGUACGUAUAUCUAGAACACAACAGUCUCAGUUAUUAAUCCAGAAGGUGCCACGAUCAAAGAGAGCAGAAGCAAUUCGACUCCCAACAAAUAAACACGGUGGCAGUGUUAAGAUAGUCUCAAAUAGCAGGUUAGUUCCAAGAAAAUUCGGGAAAACUAUAGUGUAGUUAUGGUGGACAAUCUGGUGAACGACAGGCAGUUCCGAGAAAAAACGUCAAAAAUGUCCAAUUUUAUCAAAACUAACUAAUUAUUAAACUUACCUGACUGAUUGGGAUGGCGCCUGGCUCGCCCUGAAAUAGAAUCAUCAGCUAAUAAGUAAAACUGUUACAAGGCACGAACGUCUGUACAAAAAUAUACAGUAUGUAAUUACAGUAUGUAAACUGUGUGAGUGGUAAACACCUGAGUGCAGAAGUUUAUUGCAGACUUUCCAUUCUACUAUAAGUUUUUUUUCUCAUUAUACAUUAAGUUCUAAAUUGAAUCCUUCAGACACAUCGCGAAAAUAAUAUAAGGUAUGCAAUGUGACAAUUUGUUUACACUUACAGGUGGUCCUGGGGGUCCAGGGGGUCCGGGCGGUCCCUAGGGAGAAAAUGAUAUCAUAGAUUGAUAAACAAGUCGGAGAAGCAUAUAAUUCAGGGCAUGUUCUAUAGAACAAAACAUCCUGGAGGACUACUCACCACUCGACCAUCAUCUCCCUGUUGACAAAGAUCAAGAAAAGCCAUAAAUAACGUAAUAACCUAAACAAGUCAGGAAAAUUCACUCGGAGUGCCUUGUUGCCUUUUCACGUGAUGAAGAGCGCACACAGAGCACACAGUUGGGUGGUUGGUCCAGGAGAGACAGGGUACAAGAUGUGUAAUGGUCGCGUUCUCACCUCUGGUCCUGGGUCACCCUGUGGACCAAUAGGUCCGCGAGGUCCUGGGGAGCCCUGAGAGGUAAGAAGCAAUAAGUAAGUAAUGCUAUCACUGCCAGUGACAAUCACGGUUAGGCACGCACUCACAGCAAGUCACGCAAUCUCAGUUAGUCACACUCACAGUAAGUCACGCAAUCACGGCUAGUCACACAAUCACACAUAGUCACACUAUUAUAUAUGGUCACAAAAUUACAUUUGGGUCGCAGAAUAUCCAUACAAUAAAAGUUUGUCACAAAAUCGCCAUCUGUCACACAAUAAGAGCCAGUCACACAAUAACAGAUAAUCACACACACCAUGUGUCACACAAUCAAAGUCAGCAACAGAUAUGACAUGCAAUUACCAUGGAGCCCUUUGCGCCCUGUGUUCCGUUCCUACCGCCAUCUCCCUUCUCACCCUAAGAGGAAAGCAACAACGCGAUCGAAAUAUAGCACGUGAAAUACAUACAGCAAGGGCCGAAUGUAAGCCCAUAAAGAUGACACCUCAAUAAUGCAAAAACUGCUGAAAGCUAAUAGAACAUCCCUAUAACAAGCCUCAAAAAAGUAUUUUUAAUAAAGCGGAUUUUUUUUCUUAAUUCUAAAUUUUAAUUUUACAAUUUAUGACACCAUGGUUAUUUUAGAAACGUUUAUAUCGUACAAAAAGAUAAAUAUUUCUUACCUCCAGACCAUCAUCUCCAUAUUUACCAGGCUUGCCAGUGUAUCCUGGAUCGCCCUAAACAACGGCAAGGCAUAGUGAGAAUUCAGAAUAACGAUGAUAACAAUUACAAUGAGGCUGAUGAAUUAACUUUUACAAAUCAUUGCGAUGUCGAUCAUGUUAUCAUGAUGUCGAUGAUGAGCCAGCAGAUGCGUGGAUGGAAAGAUUCUAAUAUGAAUGAUGUAAUGAAACUAAUCCAUUACCUUAGGUCCCUCCAAGCCUUGAUCUCCUCUGUCUCCGGGAAGACCUUGUUUGCCCUGAGAGAUUGACACCAAUUAAAAACAGGCCUAGUUGAGUGAUAAAAUAAUAGUUUAUGACUUUUUAAGACGAUCUAUAAUCUACGAUCUACAUAAUAGAGGCAUUGCGUGACAAUGGAUAUGUGUCGCAUGACAUCUAGCGUCGCGUGACAUCAUCGAAGGGUGCUACGUGACACAACUGACAGCACUGCGUAACAUAAUUGAAGUGUGUUGUACAGUGAUGUGACAACACAGUACCUUGGGGCCUUGUGGACCUCUCUCACCGGGUGUUCCCUCUCUUCCUGGGUCACCCUAAAGGGAAAAGAACAGUUAGUUUACCUAUUACUUAACAAGAAUAAACAACUGUUGGAUACCACUUACAGGUUCUCCAAUGAUGCCGGCAGCUCCCUUGCUUCCUGAGUCUCCUGGCGGUCCCAUGGCUCCUGGAGUACCGGGAGAACCGGCUGAGCCGGGUUCCCCAUUGGCUCCCUAUCGCAAAAAAAAAAAAAAAACGUUUAAUAACACAGUUAUCUCUCGAGUCACAUAGAAUGAAGAGGUAGCCUUUGGUAAUAAAUAUAUUAAAGGACAUCUUUUUCUUUUCAAAGGAGUUUGCCUAUCCAUGCCGAUUGUGUACCGGCCUUUCUCCAGGCCUUAUAAAAUCCAUUGUAUUUUCUCAUAUCGACUACGUGCAUUGCCUUUGGCGUACUAGAGUUAUCUGUUUGUUUGUUUUUGUUUUUCAGUGUCGAAUACAAACCCUUUCUCCAGGCCUAAAAUACAUUGUAUUUCUUCUGUCGAAUACGUACAUUGAUUGCCCUUGGAGUACUAGAGUUAUCUGUUUUUUUUUUCAGUGUCGAAUACGAACCCUUUCUCCGGGCUGACCGUUCGCACCGUCCUGUCCGUUUAUACCAUCAGAGCCCUAGUUGAAACAACAGAUAACAAGUGAUUUUUUUAGUCCAAUUCUCUACAUCUGCUUGUGGAAACGUGACUUACAGGGACGCCAUUGGGUCCACGUGCUCCGGGUGGUCCUCGGCGACCGGGGAAUCCCUGGAAAUCAAGGAAAAUGAAUGACAAAACUGCGAUAAUAGAAAGAAAAACAAGCUGACAAAUGUUUAAGACGGUUAAAAUAUACAACAGUAAAAAAUACGGUAUGUUUUGUAAAAUUACUGUAUGUCUUGUAAAAAAGACUGUAUGUCAUGUAAACAAAAUACUGUAUGUCUUGUAAAAAAUACUGUAUGUCUUGUAAAAAAAUACAGUAUGUCUUGUAAAAAAUACUGUAUGUGAUGUAAAAAGAUACGGCAUGUCAUGUAAAAAUACUGUAUGUCUUGUAUAAAAUUCUAUAUGUCCUGUAAAAAAAUGUAUUUCUUGUAAAACAAAUACUUUAUUAUCAACGCUUAAUGUCUGACCUAACGGUACUUACUGGUGGUCCAACAUCGCCAUUGAUACCAUCCCGACCGGCUGGACCUGGGUCACCCUAUAACAUGAGGAAUAGUUUUAAUUAUGUAUGGAUCAAAGUCGUGUUUACUAGUUCACCAGAGCUACAAACAGGAGGUAAACAACGUGUUUAUAGUGUGGAUACUCGAUGUACUUGGCAAUGCCUUGGUAUAUUGAAAAAAAAAAAUCAAAUUUACUUGACAAAAAUUCAAUUUACUAGACAAAGACAAAUAUUUGAAUUAAUGGACAGGGAACGAUUCACAAGACAGAGAUUCGAUUGACUUGGAAAAGAUUCCAUUUACGUAACAAAACCUCUACUGUAAUGAAGAUUUACCUUCUCUCCUGCAGGACCAGAUUGUCCACGUAGUCCAGGAAGUCCGGACAGACCCUUCAAACAAAGGUAAUAUCAAAAAUUUAUGGCAAUAAAACAAAUUUGAAUUGUCAAUCAUGACUUACGGUGAAUCCGUCUUCGCCCUUCGCUCCAGUAGCUCCAGGGGGGCCUGGUAGUCCCUGUGAGAAUUGACAACAAGAUGAGUUCAGUAUAUUAGCAACUAAGAGUGAAGGGAAGUCGACGCGUGUAUGACUUACGGGUCGGCCAUCCUCUCCAGCUGGUCCCAUGUCUCCGUCUCGGCCACCAAUUCCAGGGAUUCCUGGGUUUCCAGGUAGACCAGGUUUGCCAGGAAAGCCGCUAGCACCCUAGACACAAAUGCAUCAAUAUAGGAUAUUCAUGAAGCUUUCUGGUUUAUCGUCGCACAUGAUCUUAAUUAGAUACACAGCAAUAGCAAGUAGAGAAACUAUACCUUGAUCCCAGGAAUACCAGGGUUUCCAGUGGGGCCGAUUGGACCUGGUGGACCCUAAGAUAUUAAAAAAUAAUAAUAAUAAUGAGUUUAAAUAUCUCAAUGGGGUCAUUAAAUCUACUGUAAUAACGGACAUGACGUGACGUUACAUAUUGUGAAUAUUUUAAGCAUCCAAUUUAUGGAUGGAAUACUGUACUAGGAUGUGUAGCCAGUAUGUACUUACAGGAGGACCUUGCACACCAGGUCGACCGUCUGAGCCAGUCGCUCCACGAGCUCCCUGUAGACACGAGUCACGAGAACAUGAGUACUGUACAAGAAUACCACCUCAAUGAAGUAGAAUACUUACAACCGGGCCGGGCAUUCCGCGGUCUCCUUUGUUGCCCUGGUUACCGGCCAUGCCCUGCAGGAGAAUGAAAAUAAAUUAUUUAAUAGAACCACGAAGCGACAACUUCGGGAGACACUUUAAUGACCGUAAAAUGCGCUAUCGAUGUCACGUGUUUUAUUAUAAAUUUCAUGUGUUUAGCCACGUGUAUAUCUACCAAUGGAAAUGGCAUGUGUUGUUACAAAUGACACGUGGUUCCACAUGUUUAGCUGCCAAAGGCACGUAGUAUUUCACGUGUUAAUCAAUCAAUGGCGCGUGAUGUACACGUGAUGUACUCACAGCGCCUCCUUGCACACCCUUGGGUCCCUUGGAUCCACGGUCGCCCUUAGCUCCUUUCUCGCCACGAGGUCCUUUAAGUCCGGGAGCUCCUGCCGGUCCAGGGGAUCCCUGUGUAAAACAAGCAUUAAUUUCGAAACGAAAUCAAAUCAAAACUGAACAAUUCAGAGAAGGCCUCUGUAUCCUAUUACUUACGGGACGUCCUGGAAGACCAGAAGCGCCGGAGGAUCCUUGUUGGCCACGCUCUCCCUAAACACGACAAAACAUCAGUAUACAAUCAUCCAACGAGCGCUGACACUUUUCCAACAAUAUUCCAUAUCAUUAGACAACAACAUACGGUAUACAUAGUGAAGUUCUUCACUGUACACUAAAGAUACAGUUAAAACGAUUGUGAAAAGGAAAAAUAUCCCCGGUGGAUUCCUAAGAACAUGUAUGGUCACCUGUUCGCCGUUCUUGCCGCGUCUUCCGGGAACACCUGGGGUUCCAGCGUAACCCUACAAGACAAAGAAAAUUGAAGUUAACGUGGAAACAGGAGAGACCAGCACUCUCAAGGGAUACACUUACCUUCUCUCCGGAGGCACCUGGAGGGCCUGGAGCUCCGUUAGCACCGUCGUUACCCUGGAUACGAGAUCAAACGACAAAUCUAAGCAACGGUUUUCAACUGGUUCAAGCAAAGAUAACUUUCGAGACAUCUAUAACAAGUUUGGAUAAGGGGAAGGGGGCGUCCACCCCUAACUACGCGUUUCUGUUUGUCGUGUUUUCCCGCCCAUUCCAUUCCAACUAUGUUGCUGAUGACCAAUAAAAGUACUGCUUCAAUAA